CAGCAGUCGCCACGGUAAAACAGAGGGUGCAAGCGUUAAUCGGAAUUACUGGGCGUAAAGCGCGCGUAGGUGGUUUGUUAAGUUGGAUGUGAAAGCCCCGGGCUCAACCUGGGAACUGCAUCCAAAACUGGCAAGCUAGAGUACGGUAGAGGGUGGUGGAAUUUCCUGUGUAGCGGUGAAAUGCGUAGAUAUAGGAAGGAACACCAGUGGCGAAGGCGACCACCUGGACUGAUACUGACACUGAGGUGCGAAAGCGUGGGGAGCAAACAGGAUUAGAUACCCCGGUAGUCCCUGUCUCUUAUAC
Molecule: ribosomal RNA, 304 nt
Filed under: uncultured bacterium
Lineage: Bacteria
Description: partial 16S ribosomal RNA
Rfam family: Bacterial small subunit ribosomal RNA
Source: RNAcentral